GCAGUCGAACGGCAGCACGGGGGCAACCCUGGUGGCGAGUGGCGAACGGGUGAGUAAUACAUCGGAACGUGUCCUGUAGUGGGGGAUAGCCCGGCGAAAGCCGGAUUAAUACCGCAUACGCUCUACGGAGGAAAGGGGGGGAUCUUAGGACCUCUCGCUACAGGGGCGGCCGAUGGCAGAUUAGCUAGUUGGUGGGGUAAAGGCCUACCAAGGCGACGAUCUGUAGCUGGUCUGAGAGGACGACCAGCCACACUGGGACUGAGACACGGCCCAGACUCCUACGGGAGGCAGCAGUGGGGAAUUUUGGACAAUGGGCGCAAGCCUGAUCCAGCAAUGCCGCGUGUGUGAAGAAGGCCUUCGGGUUGUAAAGCACUUUUGUCCGGAAAGAAAACCUCUGGGUUAAUACCCCGGGGGGAUGACGGUACCGGAAGAAUAAGCACCGGCUAACUACGUGCCAGCAGCCGCGGUAAUACGUAGGGUGCAAGCGUUAAUCGGAAUUACUGGGCGUAAAGCGUGCGCAGGCGGUCCGCUAAGACAGAUGUGAAAUCCCCGGGCUUAACCUGGGAACUGCAUUUGUGACUGGCGGGCUAGAGUAUGGCAGAGGGGGGUAGAAUUCCACGUGUAGCAGUGAAAUGCGUAGAGAUGUGGAGGAAUACCGAUGGCGAAGGCAGCCCCCUGGGCCAAUACUGACGCUCAUGCACGAAAGCGUGGGGAGCAAACAGGAUUAGAUACCCUGGUAGUCCACGCCCUAAACGAUGUCAACUAGUUGUUGGGGAUUCAUUUCCUUAGUAACGUAGCUAACGCGUGAAGUUGACCGCCUGGGGAGUACGGUCGCAAGAUUAAAACUCAAAGGAAU
RNAcentral lists this ribosomal RNA (856 nucleotides) under bacterium E1B19aut. RNAcentral describes it as "bacterial SSU rRNA". It matches the Rfam family "Bacterial small subunit ribosomal RNA", at positions 57 to 910 of the family's 1533-position model. The record is from RNAcentral.